CUACACAUAAAAAGAUCAGACAAGAGACCCCGUCCAUCUGAGAACCGAGCGCCGCUUCUGCUUCUUUUCUUCGUUUCACCUUCCUCACAUCCACACUCUCGUCCCUCAAAAACACACACAAACCUAAGAUCCACCACACACGGAGUUAAAAGAAGACAAAAAAACAGAAAACAAGAAGAGAAAGAAGAACGAAAUACAUGGGAAGGGAAACGACAAAGAAAAAUGAAACAUAGAAAAAUGAAGAUUUAAUAAAGAUUUAAGUGCUAAUGAAUUGCUAGAAGCAUUAAAGCUUAAAUACUUUCCUGGGUGUUUAUUGAGUUUUCUUCAAGCCUAAAGCACGCUUUCUGUUGCUCAAGUUUAGUUUUAUACCACCUGCUACUGUUUCCUUUUAUAUUUUCUCUAUUUCAAGGUAUUACUCACUCACUCAGCUAUGUAAUUUUCACUUUCUGUCUAUGGAAUUUAUAAUAGUGUUGAGCAUAUGAAUUUCUG
Molecule: long non-coding RNA, 489 nt
Filed under: Nicotiana benthamiana
Lineage: Eukaryota; Viridiplantae; Streptophyta; Magnoliopsida; Solanales; Solanaceae
Description: long non-coding RNA (NBEN_LNC040116)
Source: RNAcentral